AGCAAACGGCAACCUUAUUGAAAAAUAAGGACGCAAAGUCGCAGGCCUAAGGUGUACAUAGAGGAAAUGCAUAUUUAUAAAACUAUGGCGGCUGGACUACC
This 101-nucleotide non-coding RNA is filed under the name Thalassobacillus devorans. Its description in RNAcentral is "Cyclic di-GMP-I riboswitch". It matches the Rfam family "c-di-GMP-I riboswitch aptamer". Rfam says of the family: GEMM was predicted in a large-scale screen for bacterial structured RNA regulatory elements. Genes associated with GEMM are involved in a diverse array of functions, including chemotaxis regulation, signal transduction, secretion and chitin. Lineage: Bacteria; Bacillati; Bacillota; Bacilli; Caryophanales; Bacillaceae. The record is from RNAcentral.